CCUACGGGAGACAGCAGUGAGGAAUAUUGCACAAUGGGCGCGAGCCUGAUCCAGCGAAGCAGCGUGAAGGAUGAAUGUUUUAGGGGUUGUAACUUUCUUUAUCAAAGGAGUUAAGUGCGGUACGUGUGCAUAUUUCUAUGUCUUAUAUGAAUAAAGAUGGGCCAACUACGUGCAAGCAGCCGCGGUAAUACGGAGGAUCCGAGCGUUAUCCGGAUUUAUUGGGUUUAAAGGGAGCGUAGUUGGGUUGUUAAGUCAGUUGUGAAAGUUUGCGGCUCAACUGUAAGAUUGCAAUUGAUACUGGCAGUCUUGAGUGCAGUUGAGGUAGGCGGAAUUCGUAGUGUAGCGGUGAAAUGCGUAGAUAUCACGAAGAACACCGAUUGCGAAGGCAGCUUACUAAACUGCCACUGACAUUGAUGCUCGAAAGUGUGGGUAGCAAACAGGAUUAGAUACCCGAGUAGUC
RNAcentral lists this ribosomal RNA (460 nucleotides) under uncultured bacterium. RNAcentral's name for it is "partial 16S ribosomal RNA". It matches the Rfam family "Bacterial small subunit ribosomal RNA", at positions 338 to 795 of the family's 1533-position model. The record is from RNAcentral.